RNAcentral lists this ribosomal RNA (460 nucleotides) under uncultured bacterium. RNAcentral describes it as "partial 16S ribosomal RNA". It matches the Rfam family "Bacterial small subunit ribosomal RNA", at positions 338 to 795 of the family's 1533-position model. The record is from RNAcentral.
CCUACGGUGGCUGCAGUGAGGAAUAUUGGUCAAUGGGCGAGAGCCUGAACCAGCCAAGUCGCGUGAAGGAUGACGGCCCUACGGGUUGUAAACUUCUUUUGUCAGGGAGCAAUUGAGUCCACGUGUGUUCUUAGCGAGAGUACCUGAAGAAAAAGCAUCGGCUAACUCCGUGCCAGCAGCCGCGGUAAUACGGAGGAAGCAAGCGUUAUCCGGAAUUACUGGGUGUAAAGGGAGCGUAGACGGUGAUGUAAGUCUGGAGUGAAAGGCGGGGGCCCAACCCCCGGACUGCUCUGGAAACUAUGUGACUGGAGUGCAGGAGAGGUGAGCGGAAUUCCUAGGGUAGCGGUGAAAUGCGUAGAUAUUAGGAGGAACACCAGUGGCGAAGGCGGCUCACUGGACUGUAACUGACGUUGAGGCUCGAAAGCGUGGGGAGCAAACAGGAUUAGAUACCCCGGUAGUC